RNAcentral lists this ribosomal RNA (449 nucleotides) under uncultured organism. RNAcentral's name for it is "partial 16S ribosomal RNA". It matches the Rfam family "Bacterial small subunit ribosomal RNA", at positions 334 to 799 of the family's 1533-position model. The record is from RNAcentral.
CACUCCUGCGGGAGGCAGCAGUGGGGAAUAUUGGACAAUGGGCGCAAGCCUGAUCCAGCCAUGCCGCGUGAGUGAUGAAGGCCCUAGGGUUGUAAAGCUCUUUCACCGGUGAAGAUAAUGACGGUAACCGGAGAAGAAGCCCCGGCUAACUUCGUGCCAGCAGCCGCGGUAAUACGAAGGGGGCUAGCGUUGUUCGGAUUUACUGGGCGUAAAGCGCACGUAGGCGGACUAUUAAGUCAGGGGUGAAAUCCCGGGGCUCAACCCCGGAACUGCCUUUGAUACUGGUAGUCUUGAGUUCGAGAGAGGUGAGUGGAAUUCCGAGUGUAGAGGUGAAAUUCGUAGAUAUUCGGAGGAACACCAGUGGCGAAGGCGGCUCACUGGCUCGAUACUGACGCUGAGGUGCGAAAGCGUGGGGAGCAAACAGGAUUAGAUACCCCAGUAGUCCCAUG